UGGUAAGGUAAUGGCUUACCAAGGCGACGAUGGGUAGCCGGCCUGAGAGGGUGUACGGCCACACUGGGACUGAGACACGGCCCAGACUCCUACGGGAGGCAGCAGUAGGGAAUAUUGCGCAAUGGAGGGAACUCUGACGCAGCGACGCCGCGUGAGCGAUGAAGGUCUUCGGAUCGUAAAGCUCUGUCCUUGGGGAAGAAGGGUGCAUUAUAGCAUCUUGACGGUACCCGAGGAGGAAGCCCCGGCUAACUACGUGCCAGCAGCCGCGGUAAUACGUAGGGGGCAAGCGUUGUCCGGAAUUAUUGGGCGUAAAGGGUGCGUAGGCGGCCUUUUAAGUCAGGUGUGAAAGCCCACGGCUUAACCGUGGGAUUGCAUUUGAAACUGGAAGGCUUGAGUAUCGGAGAGGGUAGUGGAAUUCCCAGUGUAGCGGUGAAAUGCGUAGAUAUUGGGAGGAACACCAGUGGCGAAGGCGACUACCUGGACGAAAACUGACGCUGAUGCACGAAAGCUAGGGGAGCAAACAGGAUUAGAUACCCUGGUAGUCCUAGCUGUAAACGAUGGGUACUAGGUGUAGGAGGUUUCGAUACCUUCUGUGCCGGAGUUA
Molecule: ribosomal RNA, 604 nt
Filed under: uncultured bacterium
Lineage: Bacteria
Description: bacterial SSU rRNA
Rfam family: Bacterial small subunit ribosomal RNA
Source: RNAcentral